Molecule: ribosomal RNA, 253 nt
Filed under: uncultured bacterium
Lineage: Bacteria
Description: partial 16S ribosomal RNA
Rfam family: Bacterial small subunit ribosomal RNA
Source: RNAcentral
UACGAAGGGGGCUAGCGUUGCUCGGAUUGACUGGGCGUAAAGGGCGCGUAGGCGGUUUGCACAGUCAGACGUGAAAUUCCUGGGCUUAACCUGGGGGCUGCGUUUGAUACGUGCAGGCUUGAGUUCGGAAGAGGGUCGUGGAAUUCCCAGUGUAGAGGUGAAAUUCGUAGAUAUCGGGAGGAACACCAGUGGCGAAGGCGGCAUCCUGGCCCUGUCCUGACGCUCAGGGGCGAAAGCGUGGGGAGCGAACAGG